UACAGAGGCCUCGAGCGUUAGGCGGAAUCACUGGGCUUAAAGCGUGUGUAGGCGGAUGUCUAAGUGCUUUGUGAAAUCCCACGGCUCAACCGUGGAAUUGCUUGGCAUACUGGAUGUCUUGAGCCAUCUAGGGGCGAGCGGAACAAGUGGUGGAGCGGUGAAAUGCGUAGAUAUCCGGAGGAACACCGGUGGCGAAGGCGGCUUCCUGGACCGACACUGACGCUGAGGCGCGAAAGCUAGGGGAGCAAACGGG
RNAcentral lists this ribosomal RNA (253 nucleotides) under uncultured bacterium. RNAcentral describes it as "partial 16S ribosomal RNA". It matches the Rfam family "Bacterial small subunit ribosomal RNA", at positions 524 to 776 of the family's 1533-position model. The record is from RNAcentral.